This 1207-nucleotide long non-coding RNA is filed under the name Medicago truncatula (barrel medic). RNAcentral's name for it is "long non-coding RNA (MTRU_LNC005450)". The record is from RNAcentral. Lineage: Eukaryota; Viridiplantae; Streptophyta; Magnoliopsida; Fabales; Fabaceae.
AAUUAAUCAAUAAAUUUGAAAAACGAAUCUCAUUAAAAGAAAAGAAUUUGAAAAACGAAUCUUUGUUUAUGAUAGUGAACAGUGAGAAUAUUUAACUACUCUAAAUUAAAUUUAUUUGUACAAAAAUUAGUAAAACCAUGAAAGUCAAAAGAUUAUUACAUAAUUGAUAAAUUGUUUUUGGACUUAUCUUGACCCUUUGAGUCUUUUCAGCAGUUACAAAAAGAGUUUUGUUAGCAAUAGAUUUCUUGCAUUUUAAUUAAUGUGAGUAAAAGUUUUGGGAUUUUUUUUGCUCAUAAGCUAAUUUAAUAUAUUAAUCAUAAAAAUAUAUUUUUUAUCUUUGUAUAUUUUGUCCUCUCGUAAUUCUAGCUUCACUGCCGUUAGGGUUGGGAAUAGGCCAGGCCGGCCUACAGGGGCCUAUGGCCUGGCCUGUUUAAGCCUGGCCUGGCCUGGCCUGUUUAUUAAAAAGGCUAGGCUUAGGCUUUUUAAAAAGCCUAUUUAAGUAAAUAGGCCAGGCUUAGGCUAUAAAAAAAGCCUAUGAAUCCUAAUAGGCCGGCCUGUUUAUGCAUGUUAGGCUUCAUAGUGGACUUUUUAAAUAGGCUUUAAAGCUUUAUAGUGAAAUAUGUUUUUAAGGCCUUAUAGUGAUAGACAAAUCUUACACUGGAAUAGACUUUGAAGCCUAUUAAGCCUAUUUAAAAGUAGAUAAAAUGGAAUGUUUAGUGACUUUAAUAGUAAGUAGGCUUUCAGGUCAGGCCAGGCUUUUAAAUAGGUCAGGCCAGGCCAAAAUAAUAGGCCUAUGAAAGGCCAUAGGCCAGGCUCAGGCCUGCAAAUUUUUUCGUAGGUCAGGCUCAGGCCUAUCAAAGCCUGGCCUGACCUGGCCUAUUCCCAACCCUAACUGCCGUACUCAAAGAUCAAAAUAACUAACUAAAGAGACACUUAAAAAAUAUUUUUAAUUUUCAUAUAAUUUAUCAAAGAUUAUAGUGACACUAAAACUGUUGUUUAUCACAUUUAUAUUAAAUAAACAACAUAUAUGCAGCAAGUUGAUACCAUUUUUUGUAUGAAAUGCAGCAUGUUGUUACCAUUGAAAGGCCUGCAACACGGCCAAUGCAUUUUUAAAAGAGAAAACUCGUAUUUUCUGGUGUAGAUUAGUUUAAGCACAAGUGCUAAGUUUAAUCUCUAAAAACUAAUAUUCUCUUUCCCUCAAAAAAAA